AGCGAACGCUGGCGGCAGGCCUAACACAUGCAAGUCGAACGAACUCUUCGGAGUUAGUGGCGGACGGGUGAGUAACACGUGGGAACGUGCCUUUAGGUUCGGAAUAACUCAGGGAAACUUGUGCUAAUACCGAAUGUGCCCUUCGGGGGAAAGAUUUAUCGCCUUUAGAGCGGCCCGCGUCUGAUUAGCUAGUUGGUGAGGUAAAGGCUCACCAAGGCGACGAUCAGUAGCUGGUCUGAGAGGAUGUUCAGCCACAUUGGGACUGAGACACGGCCCAAACUCCUACGGGAGGCAGCAGUGGGGAAUCUUGCGCAAUGGGCGAAAGCCUGACGCAGCCAUGCCGCGUGAAUGAUGAAGGUCUUAGGAUUGUAAAAUUCUUUCACCGGGGACGAUAAUGACGGUACCCGGAGAAGAAGCCCCGGCUAACUUCGUG
This 433-nucleotide ribosomal RNA is filed under the name uncultured bacterium. Its description in RNAcentral is "partial 16S ribosomal RNA". It matches the Rfam family "Bacterial small subunit ribosomal RNA", at positions 29 to 507 of the family's 1533-position model. The record is from RNAcentral.